UUCAAUUUGGAUCACAUUAUCGGUUACCAAAUUUGAGACAUACCCUAAUUCCCAAACCCUCUCUUCUAUCUCUUCUCUUCUACCGCCUUCUCCACCGACGCAGCACCUCACGGCCACGCAGACGUCACGCUCCGGAAAAACUGCAAUCGACAGCCACCGACGAAAUCGGUUACAUUCGGAGGUCUAUUGUUUAUUCACCGACAGCAUCUUCGUCAUUGUCAUUCAUCUCAAAUGGAAGAAACUUAGAAUAUGCAAAAGUAAGAAGUAUAACGAAUCGCGUUGUCUCGGGUGGUUGCGUUGACUCAACAUUGCUAAGAUUCAAGAUGACUAAUAGAAGUUAUGCAACAUCCGAGAAUACGGUUUCAACCUCUCCACCUACCGUCUCUAAUGAAAUGCCACCUCCUCACACUAAGAAGCGAAAGAAUCGUUCAGAGGCUUGGAAUCAUUUCAUUGUAUCGUCAGAAGAAGAACAAAAAGCUUCGUGCAAAUACUGUGACACAAAGAUUAAGUAUAAUAAUGGAACUAGUUCCAUGCAUGCUCAUUUAUCGAGAUGUCUCACUUACAAGAGGCAAAAGACAUCAUCUUCUAUGACAAGUGCUGAAGAACAUGUUAGCUCUCCUAUAAUUGUCAAGUUUGACCAAGAAGCUAUUCGAAGAGCAAUGGUUAAGAUGUUCAUUAACAUGGAGAUUCCUUUUCGAAAGUUUGAACACGAGUCUUUUCAUGAAUUUAUGAGUCUCGCUUAACCAAGAUUUCAGAUUUGUUCGCACAUAACAUUGGCACGUGAUGUCUUGAAACUAUGGGACACAGAAAGAAUGAUUUUGAAAGAUUUUAUCUCUAUGAAUUGUCGAAGAGUUUGUCUCACCACCGAUAUGUGGACUUCUUGUCAAAACUUGAGCUAUAUGUGUGUGACGACCCAUUUCAUUGACAAUAAUUGGCACUUACAGAAGAAGAUCUUAACUUUUUGUCAAGUCACAAAUCAUACAGGGGAUUCUAUUUGUGAAACAAUGGAGAUGUGUUUGAAUAGAUGGGGUUUAAACCGCGUGCUUAGUUUGCUGGUUGAUAAUGCUUCAUCUAAUGAUGUUGGGGUUGAACGUCUCAAGAGAAGGCUUUUGUCCAAGAAUAGUUUAGUUAUGAGCGGAAACAAUUUUAAUAUGAGGUGUUGCGCACACAUAUUGAACUUAAUUAUGAAAGAAGGUUUGAAAGACAUUGAUGCUUCUGUUUAUAGAGUUCGUCAUGCUGUUUGGUAUGCUAGAUCUUCUCCCGCGAGGCUUGCUAAAUUCAAGGCAUGUAUUGAUGAGGAGAGAGAGCAUGGACUAUAAAGGUUUAGUUUCUCUAGAUGUUGAGACUCAUUGGAAUUCAACUUACUUGAUGUUAGUAUGCGCAUCAAAACAUGAAAGAACUUUUGAAGAAUUAGGUUACCAAAAUAAAAGGUAUGUGAAUGAGUUGACAAAAAAGGGAAGAGGUGUUCCGGCGAAAGACGAUUGGAAGCAUAUCAACUUAAUCAUUCCAUUCUUGAAAUCAUUUUAUGAUGCUACUGUAAAAAUAUCAGGGCCAUCUUAUUUGACAAGCAAUAUUUAUAUGUUUGAGGUCUUGGGUAUUGGAAAGAGCAUUGUGGCUAUGUGUGCGUCUGAAGAUGGACAUCUACGUUCAGCAGCUCAAAAGAUGAAGAAGAAGUAUGAUAAGUAUUGGGGGAUCCCAUGAUAAGCUUAACAUGUUGUUGUUGAUUGCUCUAGUUUUCGACCCUAGACGCAAGGUUAGAUUGGUUGAUUGGAUGGUACGAUGAUAUUAUAAUAAGGUUGAUGUUGAUGCCUUGAAAGGAACCUUAGAGUCUUGCUUGAAAUCUAUUUAUGAGGAAUAUUGUGUUGGAAUUAUGUCCCCUCAAGGUAAUUCAAAUGAGCCGCAAGUUUUUGGUAGUGUUAGUCAUCCUUAUGGAACUGCUGAGUUCUAUCUUUCAGAAGGGUGUGACAAUGCAGAUAAUGAAUUAAUUGCUUAUCUUGGAGAGAAGUUAGAGCAUAACAUGGAGAUAAAUGUUCUAGAAUGGUGGAGAGUAAACUCUGGUCGCUAUCCCAUCCUUGCAAACAUUGCAAGAGAUGUUCUAGCUAUACCAAUAACACAGUGGCGUCUGAAUCUGCAUUCAGUACAGGAAAAAGGGUGCUUGAUCCAUAUCGUAGCUCAUUAACACCUAAAAUAGUCGAAGCACUGAUAUGCACUCUGUAACGCCCGGAAAUAUAAGUAUAUGCUUAAUUUGGUCGUUUGUGACGUUUAUUGGAAUUUUACCGUUUUUGGAGUCGUUUCAGUCGGUAUUAGUUCGAGAUGGCGGACUAAUAUUUAAUUGAAGGUUUUCAUAUUUUUGGUACUAGAAAUAUUAUUAAGGUAAUAUUCUGCGUUUUGGGGUUUUUCUGAGCAAUUGAGUUUAGACCGUAAAGUAGAUAUUUUGUUGAGAUAUUUUGGAGAAGUAGGGGGGAUAUAGAAAAGAAUAUAAGAAAAGAAAAGAAAAGAAGAAAGAAAAACAGAAAGGAAAGAAAGAAGAGAGAAAGAAAGGAAGAGAGAAGAAGAAGAGGAAAAGGGAUUUUUGUGGAGAUCAAAACAAACCUUGAUCCAAGAACAAAUCCAAGAUUAGCCGCUGUGGGAGUCUUUUGGAAGAGGUAGUUCUCCAGUUGGUCUUGUCGGUCGCUCUGAUAUGUAUCACCGGAAUUGGGGUGUUACACACUCAGGAUUGGCUCAAAGGAACAUCUUCAUCCUUGAUUACAAAUGAAGAUUUUGAUCUUGAGAGAUAUGAGCAAGAAUUACUUUAUACGGAAGAUGGUGCUAGCGAUUCAACAUCUUCAACCUCUGUUGCACUCGAAGAGGACUUAUCCGUUUAAUUGCUGUACUGCAUUCGGUUGAGAUUGUGAUGGGACUUGAGGAAGAAUUUGGCAUUAGCGUGGAAGAAGAAAGUGCUCAUGAUCGACAAGCUUCUUGAGACCAAGGCUUAAACCAACAAAGAGGAGGACUUAAAAUGUCCAUUUUGGAGUGUCUUUUUUUUUUGUUGCUAUAUGAUAUUUGGUGUGUCAGUUUAAUUAAACUUCAUGUAACUGCUAGAUUUUUUGUGGACCAUAUUAGGAUUACAAUAAUGCUAGUUUUAAUCUUAAUUUUGUAGAACU
This is a long non-coding RNA of Vicia villosa (hairy vetch), 3143 nucleotides long. RefSeq lists it as uncharacterized. The record is from RefSeq and is a predicted model, not a curated record. The transcript has 7 exons. NCBI's taxonomy places the organism in Eukaryota, Viridiplantae, Streptophyta, Magnoliopsida, Fabales, Fabaceae.